GCCAGAUGUGAAAUCCCCGAGCUUAACUUGGUGACGUGCAUUUGGAACUGGAUAACUAGAGUGUGUCAGAGGGAUGGUAGAAUUCCACAUGUAGCGGUGGAAUGCGUAGAGAUGUGGAGGAAUACCGAUGGCGAAGGCAGCCUCCUGGGAUAACAUCUGACGUUGAGGCUCCGAAAGCGUGGGGAGCAAACAGGAUUAGAUACUCUGGUAGUCAAGGGCCGAA
Molecule: ribosomal RNA, 223 nt
Filed under: uncultured Neisseriales bacterium
Lineage: Bacteria; Pseudomonadati; Pseudomonadota; Betaproteobacteria; Neisseriales
Description: partial 16S ribosomal RNA
Rfam family: Bacterial small subunit ribosomal RNA
Source: RNAcentral